ACACGACUACAUUAGAUACCCCCGGUAGUCCUAGCCGUAAACGAUACUCGCUAGGUGUCGGCCACGGUGCGACCGUUGUCGGUGCCGUAGGGAAGCCGUGAAGCGAGCCACUGGGAAGUACGGCCGCAAGGCUGAAACUUAAAGGAAUUGGCGGGGAGCACCACAACGGGUGGAGCUUGCGGUUUAAUUGGAUUCAACGCCGGAAAUCUUACCGGGACCGACAGCAACAUGAAGGCCAGGCUGAAGACUUUGCCGGAUUAGCUG
This 264-nucleotide ribosomal RNA is filed under the name uncultured archaeon. RNAcentral's name for it is "partial 16S ribosomal RNA". It matches the Rfam family "Archaeal small subunit ribosomal RNA", at positions 717 to 982 of the family's 1478-position model. The record is from RNAcentral.